GCCUUCGUGGUGUAAUGGUCAGCACAGACUGAGCCGGUAUUUCAGAGGUCCGUGGUUCGAUUCCCGGCGAAGGAA
This 75-nucleotide transfer RNA is filed under the name Stegodyphus mimosarum. It matches the Rfam family "tRNA". Rfam says of the family: Transfer RNA (tRNA) molecules are approximately 80 nucleotides in length. Their secondary structure includes four short double-helical elements and three loops (D, anti-codon, and T loops). Further hydrogen bonds mediate the characteristic L-shaped molecular structure. tRNAs have two regions of fundamental functional importance: the anti-codon, which is responsible for specific mRNA codon recognition, and the 3' end, to which the tRNAs corresponding amino acid is attached (by aminoacyl-tRNA synthetases). tRNAs cope with the degeneracy of the genetic code in two manners: having more than one tRNA (with a specific anti-codon) for a particular amino acid; and 'wobble' base-pairing, i.e. permitting non-standard base-pairing at the 3rd anti-codon position. The record is from Rfam by way of RNAcentral. Lineage: Eukaryota; Metazoa; Arthropoda; Arachnida; Araneae; Eresidae.